UACGAAGGGGGCUAGCGUUGUUCGGAAUUACUGGGCGUAAAGCGUGCGCAGGCGGCUUCUCAAGUCAGGGGUGAAAGCCCAGAGCUCAACUCUGGAAUUGCCUUUGAGACUGAGUGGCUUGAGUACGAGAGAGGUGAGUGGAAUUCCCAGUGUAGAGGUGAAAUUCGUAGAUAUUGGGAAGAACACCGGUGGCGAAGGCGGCUCACUGGACGACAACUGACGCUGAGGCGCGAAAGCGUGGGGAUCAAACAGG
RNAcentral lists this ribosomal RNA (253 nucleotides) under uncultured bacterium. RNAcentral's name for it is "partial 16S ribosomal RNA". It matches the Rfam family "Bacterial small subunit ribosomal RNA", at positions 524 to 776 of the family's 1533-position model. The record is from RNAcentral.